RNAcentral lists this ribosomal RNA (433 nucleotides) under uncultured bacterium. RNAcentral describes it as "partial 16S ribosomal RNA". It matches the Rfam family "Bacterial small subunit ribosomal RNA", at positions 29 to 507 of the family's 1533-position model. The record is from RNAcentral.
AACGAACGCUGGCGGCAUGCCUAACACAUGCAAGUCGAACGAGACCUUCGGGUCUAGUGGCGCACGGGUGCGUAACGCGUGGGAACCUGCCCUUAGGUUCGGAAUAACUCCCCGAAAGGGGUGCUAAUACCGGAUAAUGUCUUCGGACCAAAGAUUUAUCGCCUUUGGUUGGGCCCGCGUGGGAUUAGCUAGUUGGUAGGGUAAACGCCUACCAAGGCGACGAUCCAUAGCUGGUCUGAGAGGAUGAUCAGCCACACUGAGACUGAGACACGGCCCAGACUCCUACGGGAGGCAGCAGUGGGGAAUAUUGGACAAUGGGCGAAAGCCUGAUCCAGCAAUGCCGCGUGAGUGAUGAAGGCCUUAGGGUUGUAAAGCUCUUUUACCCGGGAUGAUAAUGACAGUACCGGGAGAAUAAGCUCCGGCUAACUCCGUG